Molecule: long non-coding RNA, 967 nt
Organism: Xyrauchen texanus (razorback sucker)
Lineage: Eukaryota; Metazoa; Chordata; Actinopteri; Cypriniformes; Catostomidae
Exons: 4
Source: RefSeq, a predicted model, not a curated record
ACAAAGGAAAGCCCACAAUGGGGAAACUAAACAUAAACUAGAACACUCGGGCAGGAGGACACAUACCAGGCUAACAACAUACAACGAUCGAUAAGGAGUGAACAAGAAACAGGGCUUAAAUACACAAGGACAGGAUGAUUACAAAUGAUAAACAGGUGUGAACAAUGACACAAAAUGGCAGUGAUGACGGCAGGUGGAUUGUGGGAAAUGUAGUUCGGACAAAGACAAGUGAAACCAGGGCAGACAACAAGGGAAUCGUGACAAAUGGCUAGUGAUGGGAAGUCUGGCUCUUUUCAAAGAUUUAAUUUAAGAUUGAUGUUUCAAUCUUAAAUAUUUUAUUCUGUGACUUUGAUUCAUAUUUACGUACUGCACAAUACUGUUUUUCUACCUCAGAUUGUGUUGGACCUGGAAGUAAUGGGUGAGGAUGAGACAAGUUUCCAGGAACACAUUAAUGCCAUCACCCUGGAGUUGCGUAAAAGCAACCCCAGUUACUCUGAGGUCAAGAACCGAAUGAAGCGCACUCUUUUCAAAAGAGUACAGAUUAUGGACAGGCCUGCAGCUGAAGUAAUGGAGCAGUUUCCUUUUCUUGGGGUGCCACAGCUUAUGCUGCAUGAAAUGACAAUGAGGUUUGGAACAGACUUGGCGAAGAACAUGGAAACAUCUCUAAAUGAAAUGGCCCCAAACAUCAUCAGGAGUGCAAAAGAAGGAAGUCAAAAAAAACCUCUACACAAAUCUCUUUGGACCAGCAGAGGAAACCACAGAGGGUCUCUUUAGGAAUGCUGCACUCAUUUUAUUGCCAGCACUAUUCAAAGAAAAUGCCACUUUCCUCUACUGUGUGGAUAGUGAACCCAAAGGUCCUACACCCACCAUUGUGUUUAAUGGCUCUCCUGAUCCCUCAAUGCUGAAAGUGUCAGCAUUAUAAUGGACAACGUGACCAUUAUAAGAGAGGCAGACAUCGACAUGUCAC